AGUGAACGCUGGCGGCAGGCCUAACACAUGCAAGUCGAGCGGCAGCGCGUCCGACCACCCUCGGGUGGUCGGAUGGCGGCGAGCGGCGGACGGGUGAGGAAUGCAUCGGAAUCUGCCUCGUUGUGGGGGAUAACGUAGGGAAACUUACGCUAAUACCGCAUACGACCUACGGGUGAAAGUGGGGGACCUUCGGGCCUCACGCGAUGAGAUGAGCCGAUGCCGGAUUAGCUAGUUGGCGGGGUAAAGGCCCACCAAGGCGACGAUCCGUAGCUGGUCUGAGAGGAUGAUCAGCCACACUGGAACUGAGACACGGUCCAGACUCCUACGGGAGGCAGCAGUGGGGAAUAUUGGACAAUGGGGGCAACCCUGAUCCAGCCAU
This 379-nucleotide ribosomal RNA is filed under the name uncultured bacterium. Its description in RNAcentral is "bacterial SSU rRNA". It matches the Rfam family "Bacterial small subunit ribosomal RNA", at positions 30 to 395 of the family's 1533-position model. The record is from RNAcentral.